AGCUCAAAACCCGGNGGACUUGACGGUGUCCCACCCACCNAAGAGGAGCCUGUUCUAUAAUCNAUACCCCCCGCUAUACCUCACCACUUUUAGCCUAUCANCCUGUAUACCUCCGUCDUAAGUUUACCGUGUGAACGCUUGUADUAAGCNAAAUGACUUUCCGUCAGUACUUCNGGUCAAGGUGCACCCCAUAAAGUGGCAAGCAAUGGGCUACAAUUUCUAAUUNAAAACAAACGGAUAAACUGUAAUNAAACAGUUUANAAGGAGGAUUUAGUANUAAAAAGGAAUUAUGAUUANCCCUUUUAAUUCGGCACUGGGACUUGUACACCCCCCCCCUC
This 338-nucleotide ribosomal RNA is filed under the name Petropedetes parkeri (Parker's water frog). RNAcentral's name for it is "partial 12S ribosomal RNA". The record is from RNAcentral. Lineage: Eukaryota; Metazoa; Chordata; Amphibia; Anura; Petropedetidae.